This is a non-coding RNA of Salvia hispanica, 711 nucleotides long. Lineage: Eukaryota; Viridiplantae; Streptophyta; Magnoliopsida; Lamiales; Lamiaceae. The record is from RefSeq and is a predicted model, not a curated record.
UUUUUUGAGUUCCCACAUGAUAUGAAAAUUGUGCUUCACUAUAUAACACUGUCCAUCUACCAUAUUCAUAACUGAGAGAGAGAGAGAGAGAGAGAGACAUAAGAAAAAUGAAGUCUUUUGCUUGGAUAUUAAUCCUCUUAUUAUUAUGCACAUCUAAUUUCAUAACAACUUUUUCUGAUCGAGAUCUUGAUAUGCUAAGGAGCAAAGACUUACUGAUUUCGUGGUUGGAGGAGGAGGAAUUCCCGUUCCGGAAUAUGGAAAUAACACAUGAUUCUGGGCAUGCAAGAAAGCUCGCGACAGUAGAGGAGAUCAGCUCUACCGUUAAGGGGCAGAAAGGGAAAGGCGCAUAUGGAGGCGCCAACGUUGUUCACAAGCGGCCAGACGAGAAGAACGCUGCGCCAACCUAUAGGCCGUGCUUGUUUUUAUUCGCCGCCGUUGUUGGUUUCAGCUUCUUCUCAUGAACAACAAGUAUUGUGUGUUUUUUAGUCUCUGAGUUUAUUUUUUCGUCGCUAUAUUUGGUUGAUGAUUGUCUGUUUGUUUGGUAAUUAAUAGCGUGUGGCAUUGAUGAAACAGAAGAUUGUGGAGUAGUAGUAUUAUAUUUCAAUCUUGUAUUUAUUUGAUUUAAGUGUGGAAUUCUUCAAGAAAAAGUGGAAACAAGGAUUUGCUAUACUAAUGCACUUCACAUGUCACAUAUGAGACGUUUCUAUUUCA